Molecule: small nuclear RNA, 109 nt
Organism: Ictidomys tridecemlineatus (thirteen-lined ground squirrel)
Lineage: Eukaryota; Metazoa; Chordata; Mammalia; Rodentia; Sciuridae
Source: Ensembl
GUGCUUAUUUUGGUAGCAUAGACACUGGAAGUGGAAGGAUCUAGGGAAGAUGAGCAUGGCCCCUGCACAAGGAUGGCAUCCACCUGUCCUGGAAGAGAUAGAGGUGAGC